GAGAGAGACAUGCGCGCAUAUCAAUAAGCGGAGGAAAAGAAACUAACAAGGAUUCCCCUAGUAACGGCGAGUGAAGCGGGAAGAGCUCAAAUUUGAAAUCUUAAAGGGUUUCCCUUUACGAAUUGUAGUUUAAAGAAGUGUUUUCUGUUGAGGUUUUGGUAAAAGUUCUUUGGAAUAGGACAUCAUAGAGGGUGAGAAUCCCGUAUUUGACCUUUACUUUCAACUUUGUGAUACACUUUCAAAGAGUCGGAUUGUUUGGGAAUGCAGUCCAAAAUGGGUGGUAAAUUUCAUCUAAAGCUAAAUAUUGGCGAGAGACCGAUAGCGAACAAGUACCGUGAGGGAAAGAUGAAAAGAACUUUGAAAAGAGAGUUAAACAGUACGUGAAAUUGUCAAAAGGGAAGCGUUUGACACCAGUGUUGUUUUUCUGAAAAUCAAUUAAAGAACUGUUUAUGCUAAGUUGUUUAGACUUUAUCAGCUAACUGUUUAGUUUUGAGCUUUUCUUUAAUGCACUUUUCAGUUAACAAGUCAACAUCAAUUUCUUUUGCCUGUAAAAAAGCUUGAGGAAGGUGGCUUGAGAUUCGUCUUAAGUGUUUAUAGCCUCUUGCCUAUGCAGUCGGAGAGAUUGAGGUCUGCAGCGUAGAUCCUUCGGGGCUAAAUGCAUUUGUGCUAAGUUAUAGCAUUUUAUAGACAACUUGUUGACUAUGAUUUGUCUUGUAGCUUACUCGCUUAUGUUAUUUUACCUACGCUUAGGAUGUUGAGCGCAUGUCUCUCUCU
Molecule: ribosomal RNA, 774 nt
Filed under: uncultured Neocallimastigales
Lineage: Eukaryota; Fungi; Neocallimastigomycota; Neocallimastigomycetes; Neocallimastigales
Description: partial large subunit ribosomal RNA
Rfam family: Eukaryotic large subunit ribosomal RNA
Source: RNAcentral